UACGGAGGGUGCAAGCGUUGUCCGGAUUUAUUGGGUUUAAAGGGUGCGUAGGUGGCCUUAUAAGUCAGUGGUGAAAGUCUGCAGCUUAACUGUAGAACUGCCAUUGAUACUGUAGGGCUUGAGUAUUGAUGAGGUAGGCGGAAUUGAUAGUGUAGCGGUGAAAUGCAUAGAUAUUAUCAAGAACACCGAUUGCGAAGGCAGCUUACUAAGGAAUAACUGACACUGAGGCACGAAAGCGUGGGGAUCAAACAGGAUUAGAUACCCCAGUAGUCC
This 273-nucleotide ribosomal RNA is filed under the name uncultured bacterium. Its description in RNAcentral is "partial 16S ribosomal RNA". It matches the Rfam family "Bacterial small subunit ribosomal RNA", at positions 524 to 796 of the family's 1533-position model. The record is from RNAcentral.